Molecule: unclassified non-coding RNA, 706 nt
Filed under: Hevea brasiliensis (rubber tree)
Lineage: Eukaryota; Viridiplantae; Streptophyta; Magnoliopsida; Malpighiales; Euphorbiaceae
Source: RNAcentral
GGCGAGCCGACUCAGUCCCGCUCCGAAAUCAAAAGGCUGAACUCAUCACGAGUCAUAAACUCGGAAAACAACAAACACAAUCUCAAUAUUGAAUCUACUAGAUUUCACCACGGAUUCCGCCUUGCACUGUGUGUGGUGUUUCUUUUUCGCUAUAAUUCUUAACCAGAAACGUUCACAAACCGAUGAUCUUCAUCGAACCUGAGAUCAUAAAGUUUUAGACAUCACCGUACCUUCUGCUGCAAUUUUCAAGGGUCGUCAGCUUUGGACAUGACCGAGAGCCGACUAGAUCUAGGUUGAAAUGCCGCUCUCCUCCUCUGCUGGUGUGAAGAAGGACGAAUCAGAGUAGUCAAUGCACGUUUCACCAACUCACCUUCCACACCGCCGAUUCGCACGAUCGAGUUCGCCAUAGCCGAUCUCCACAUAUUCAAUCGGGUUGAAGGAAACGACGCUGCCUGGCUAUGGCCACCGCUACUCGAAACGUUCUUAUGGAGACUACACCGGAAAGAGCCUGGAUGCGUGGUCGGAGAACACAUACAAGUCCUUUUAACGUUAGACACCGGCCGAUUUUUCCUGGAAACGAUUGCCGAUCGAUUCGGAGAACUCGAACGGUUAUCGAUGAAGAAACGAACAGAAGGAGUAAGAGAAGGAGAUGAAUAAACAUUAACACGGCUAGGAGAUGUGGAUCUAGGUUGAUGAUGAUGGCUGC